GACGAACGCUGGCGGCGCGCCUAACACAUGCAAGUCGAACGAGAGGGGAAGAGCUUGCUUUUCCGAUCGAGUGGCGAACGGGUGAGUAACGCGUGAGGAACCUGCCCCAAAGAGGGGGACAACAGUUGGAAACGACUGCUAAUACCGCAUAAGCCCACGGCUCGGCAUCGAGCAGAGGGAAAAGGAGCAAUCCGCGUUGAGAUGGCCUCGCGUCCGAUUAGCUAGUUGGUGAGGUAACGGCCCACCAAGGCGACGAUCGGUAGCCGGACUGAGAGGUUGAGCGGCCACAUUGGGACUGAGACACGGCCCAGACUCCUACGGGAGGCAGCAGUGGGGAAUAUUGCACAAUGGGGGAAACCCUGAUGCAGCGACGCCGCGUGGAGGAAGAAGGUCUUCGGAUUGUAAACUCCUGUUGUUGAGGAAGAUAAUGACGGUACUCAACAAGGAAGUGACGGCUAACUACGUGCCAGCAGCCGCGGUAA
RNAcentral lists this ribosomal RNA (482 nucleotides) under uncultured bacterium. RNAcentral describes it as "partial 16S ribosomal RNA". It matches the Rfam family "Bacterial small subunit ribosomal RNA", at positions 28 to 523 of the family's 1533-position model. The record is from RNAcentral.